Molecule: ribosomal RNA, 495 nt
Filed under: uncultured bacterium
Lineage: Bacteria
Description: partial 16S ribosomal RNA
Rfam family: Bacterial small subunit ribosomal RNA
Source: RNAcentral
GACGAACGCUGGCGGCGUGCCUAAUACAUGCAAGUAGAACGCUGAAGGAGGAGCUUGCUCUUCUGGAUGAGUUGCGAACGGGUGAGUAACGCGUAGGUAACCUGCCUGGUAGCGGGGGAUAACUAUUGGAAACGAUAGCUAAUACCGCAUAAGAGUAGAUGUUGCAUGACAUUUGCUUAAAAGGUGCAAUUGCAUCACUACCAGAUGGACCUGCGUUGUAUUAGCUAGUUGGUGGGGUAACGGCUCACCAAGGCGACGAUACAUAGCCGACCUGGGAGGGUGAUCGGCCACACUGGGACUGAGACACGGCCCAGACUCCUACGGGAGGCAGCAGUAGGGAAUCUUCGGCAAUGGACGGAAGUCUGACCGAGCAACGCCGCGUGAGUGAAGAAGGUUUUCGGAUCGUAAAGCUCUGUUGUAAGAGAAGAACGAGUGUGAGAGUGGAAAGUUCUCACUGUGGCGGUAUCUUACCAGAAAGGGACGGCUAACUACGUG